This 301-nucleotide ribosomal RNA is filed under the name uncultured bacterium. RNAcentral's name for it is "partial 16S ribosomal RNA". It matches the Rfam family "Bacterial small subunit ribosomal RNA", at positions 509 to 807 of the family's 1533-position model. The record is from RNAcentral.
CAGUAGCCACGGGAAUACGUAGGGUCCGAGCGUUGUCCGGAAUUAUUGGGCGUAAAGGGCUCGUAGGCGGUUUGUCGCGUCGGGAGUGAAAACCAGCAGCUUAACUGCUGGCCUGCUUUCGAUACGGGCAGACUUGAGGCAUUCAGGGGAGAACGGAAUUCCUGGUGUAGCGGUGAAAUGCGCAGAUAUCAGGAGGAACACCGGUGGCGAAGGCGGUUCUCUGGGCAUGUUCUGACGCUGAGGAGCGAAAGUGUGGGGAGCGAACAGGAUUAGAUACCCCAGUAGUCCCUGUCUCUUAUAC